ACACCAUACCACUGUAGCGCAAAGGACAGUGCGUUGGACUUUCAAUCCAAAGUUCGUGAAUUCAAUUACCACCUGGUGUU
Molecule: non-coding RNA, 80 nt
Organism: Trichonephila clavipes
Lineage: Eukaryota; Metazoa; Arthropoda; Arachnida; Araneae; Nephilidae
Source: the annotation of a GenBank genome assembly